Thunnus maccoyii (southern bluefin tuna) is the source of this 3389-nucleotide long non-coding RNA. RefSeq lists it as uncharacterized. NCBI's taxonomy places the organism in Eukaryota, Metazoa, Chordata, Actinopteri, Scombriformes, Scombridae. The record is from RefSeq and is a predicted model, not a curated record. The transcript is spliced from 2 exons.
GCCAUCAUCCCACUGCCCGUUUCUACUUCACACACUCUGGGUCCAAAUAACAUCACACAAGCAAGAUGGCCGCUCCCGGAAAAGAGAUAUUUUGGCUUCACUUUUGCGUAGCGGCAGGAAGUGGAGACAUGUCGUCCGUAUUAUCAUACCACACUGGUCCUGCUGCUAGUACGAGGAGGAUAAAAUGCCCUCAAAUUGGGAUGAGUAUUUUCUAGUUAGAAAGUACAUUAUUAACGUUAAUGUGUGAUAAUGAUAACAUUUAAAGCUGGCAUAAAUAUGUCAUUCAUUUUAGAAUUCUUUUAAUCAGACAGUGGAUAUGUCCAUGAUGUAUUGUUGGAGUUAUCUGGUUAAUUCAAAUGCAGCACAGUCCACAGCAACAAAUAAGUGCUUAAAAGAUGGUCAGCUGAUCACACAGCCCAUCCACAAAGAAAACAAGCCCACCAGAGUUCACACUACAAAUCAGAUCUUAGGUUUCCUCCACCUGCCAAAUCCCACUUUAAUGUAAUGCAUGUAAUUGAUUAUAUUUCAUUUCAAUAUCCUGAAACCUCUGACAAUAGGGUGCUUAUUGGUGAAACAUCAUCAAAAUUUCUCAUGUCACAUAAAAUCUGACUGCUCUCACCUGUAGUAGUAUUAGUAUUAUCCUGUAGGUUAGGUUAAGACUUUUCUCUGAAAUUUUCCACUUUAAUUUUGAAAUAUUAUGAUUUUAUUCAAGAAAUCUCCAAAUUUUUUGCUGUCUGCAUUCUGACCAUAAUACUGUUGUACAUUCUCUGUUAAGGAAAAAUCUGACUUUUCAGAGCUCCCUUUCAAUCCUACAGGUGGUGAGUAUGUUAUACUCUGAAGAUAGAUUUUGGAAUAUUUGUACUCCUUUGAUGCUCGAUAUCUCAGGUGCUGCUCGGUGUUUGUUCUUCCAAAAUACCUCUGCUGAAGCUUUACCUCACCUCACAUGCUCCAUGUGUUCUAUGCUUAGAUACUGUAUGUGUCUGUGUGUGUGUGUGUGUGUGUGUUUUAGUGGGUGUGGUAGCUUGUUUGAAGUUCUUGCUUGUUGUGUCUGUGUGUGGUGAGACAGACUGACGGACAGACAGACAGGGAUGGACGGAUAGACUGCGACAGGCCAAACAACAGAAGAAAAGACUGCUCCUCCUCCUUGUCGCUGACUGUCUUUCAUCUGUGGGAGAGACAGACAACCCUUCUCUCUGUGCCUUUAUGUCUCUCUACUGUCUCUCUUCAUUGAUGCUCUUGUUUCUUUACUUAGUUAUGACUAGGUCUGUACUGUACAUCAGUUUGCCUUAGAAUGCCCUUUUACUAAACAUCAGGUAUCAGCCAAUCACAGCCCUCCACCUUCAGGAUGAUAUGAUGUUUUACCUGCCCACAAGAGGUCAAUAUGUUUUUAUCACGUGUGUACAUGUGUGUAAAGUCCAUGUCACACUUUAAAAGACAAGGUUUUGAUUAUUUCAGUUAACUCAUAAUUUGUCAAAUUACAUAACAUAUAUGUGAUAUGAUGACAUAAUUAUUAAUUAUAAUUAUAUAACUGUAAAAUGUUAUCAUUUUAAUUUACACUCUAUCAGAUUAGAUUCCAUCCAUUUUAUGGAUGCAAGCUGUGAAGUUGUGAGGUGAACAAAAUAUUAGAAACACCUUUUUAUAUAAUACAGCCCACUGCAACAUUAUCACUACAAAGUACAAUCUCAAAAAUGUCCAUAUAACCAAGUAAACACAUACAACUGAACAUAAGUAACGAGUAUUUAUUUUAGUUUAAUUUGCAUUCUAUCACAUUUGUUUUUUUCACUCCCUUUUUACUAACUGCAAGUAUUAGAAAUUAAAGCGGACAAUACGGCAGAAAAAACAACAUAAUUCUUUCUAGUGGCUUUUCUUUCUUCAUUAUAUCCCUGUGUAACCGAAAUUCUGAUCAUACAAUGCAUUAACUAGUUAUCAGAAAUCAUCGUUACGUUGUUUUAGUCAACUGUUGGGUCAGUGUUAAAACAAUGUUGAAAGAUACUUCCACAGACACAGUAGAGGGAGGGAGACAGAGAGAUAGAUGUGGGGGAAAUGACAGGUUCCCCCAACCCACAUUUGGCCGAGCAGCUAACUGGACUGGGCUGAUCACCACAGUACAGCCCUCUGUGUGUGUGUGUGUGUGUGUGUGUGUGUGUGUGUGUGUGUGUGUGUGCAUGUUUUUGUUGCAAGACCCAAAUUGUAUAGCGGUUCACUGGGAAAGCUCCCGGCACUCCAGAUGGCCAGUCGCUUUUGAGUCUGCUGGUAUGGCUUGUAUGAGGUCACUCUCUUGACCAAUGAUCUGUGCAGGUUUCAGCUGUUGACUGGCAGCACUGUCAGUGUUUAGAAUAACUAUUAUAAUAUUAUAAUAGUUAGUUUUUCUAACAAAGAAACCCUAAAGGCAUUUUAUUAGGCUUUAAUGGGUAAUAAUAUUAAAAAUAAUAUGAAAAUGAGGCUAUUUCUCAUUUUGCAGAGGAACCCUUGGUCAUACUAUUCCAAUUUACAGAGGUUAGACCACAGUUAAAAUCAGCCAAUUAGGAUGGACUGCUGAAUUGUAAGAUAUAUGUAGCUUCCAUAACUGCACCAUAAACAACAAGGUAUAAACUGAUUUUAUGUUUCAAUAUGACAUACAGUAUAACAAAACACAAAAUGAGCUUCAAAAGGAAAAUGAUUAUGUACCUUUUGGUGUAUACUGAUGGGGUUUUUUUGUUUUGUUUUGUUUGUUUGUUUUCUGUUAAAUACUGUAUAUAUCACAGAGAAAUAAUCAGGUCAGUGUUCUUGUGAAGUAGAUCCAAAGAUUUGACAUUUUUGGAGGAUCUUAUGUGAAAAUAUGAAAGAAUAUUAAACUACAUGUUUUACAUAUUUUUGUCAAUAUUUCAUUUGACAGAAGCCAGGUUUACAAAUUCCUCUGAUAUGAUCCAUUGUUGAUGUUGCAUGUGAUAUAUGUGAAAAUAUUUUUCUGUUCACAAAGUUCUCUUACAUACAAAGUCACACAUAAAAAAGUGUUAAUUCCAAUAAGUUAAUGAGAUAAAUGUCAACAUUUAAUGUGAUAUGUAUUAUAUAUAUAUAUAUCUGUUAUUGAGUGCUGACUCAUUUCACAGGAAAGAAAACUAAAACGGUAUGUAAGUAUCUGAAAAUAUGAGUGAUUUUUAUUAACAUAAUUGGUUAUUAGCAAAUGAUGAUCAGUAACUGGAGGACAUAAUUUGCCCUCCCUUUAUCCACCACUGCUUCACUGCCUCUUCGCUGACUGGGAGAACUGGGUUGGAACUGUAGGAGCAAAGCUACUGUGCCACCUAGCUUCAGAAAAUGCUGCUGUUUUUCAGGCCACACAGACUUUACAGUUCAACAGCGUGUUUCCACUGUAGCUGUUCACUGGAGAGAAUAAAGAGUUGUGCUAUUUC